This is a long non-coding RNA of Megalobrama amblycephala (Wuchang bream), 1909 nucleotides long. RefSeq lists it as uncharacterized. NCBI's taxonomy places the organism in Eukaryota, Metazoa, Chordata, Actinopteri, Cypriniformes, Xenocyprididae. The transcript has 3 exons. The record is from RefSeq and is a predicted model, not a curated record.
GAUAGCAAGCACCUUUGGGCCGAUUCCGGCAGAAAAGCGGCACUGUUGACGUCGAUGAAAAGAUUAUGGGCCAUAACUCUGCCGACUGUACACAACGCAUCUGGCUGACAGACAGCGUUUUCUUUAUGGGCCGGUCUCGGCUGAAAUAGUUGUACUCGCGGCAGGUCCAACUCUGAAAUUGAGUCGAUGUUGGCGCGUUUAAACCUGAAUAGGCCCAAAAGUGCUUGAUAUUUGGGGGCCCGCCUAUUACGAAACGAACUCGGGCCGAUAGAUCUAUACCGAGAUAGAUCUAUCGCACUUUUGGGCCUAUUCAGGUUUAAAUGCGCCAACAUCGACUCAAUUUCAGUCUGUGAAAAGAUAAUGGGCCAGAGCCGUGUCGACUGUACAGCUGACAGACGGCUUUUUCUGAACGGGCCAAUCAGACUGAAAGCUCGUUAUGUGUUUUCGGCCCGAGUUCGUUUGUCACGGGCGGGCCGCUGCUGGAAUUAAGGACUUCAGCUGCCUGAAAAAGAGUUUUGGCGGUUAAAUCCUGAGGAGAAUCCUGCAGUCAACAUUUCAUGAUCGAGAGAAAGGAUCAGCUGCAAAACGCUGCAGUUCAGAGAAACCCUGCUGAAAUGGAGGAUGAGGGGACCAUGAAGAGGUGGCUGCAACUGGCAGCAAAUUGAAAGUGCGGAUGCAUGAACAGAUGGUUGAGAUGACCACAACAGCCCUGAAUGUCAGCAGAGAACAUGACAACUAAACGAGCUCUGGAGACAGAUCCGCUGUGAAGACCUCGUCGACACAACAGUCUACAGCACAGAUCUUCAGCAAAGAUCACGAGAACCAGACGAGACCUCUGCAAGGCCACUUCAACUUCUCUUCCCUCUACAUGCCGUUGUGCUGUGUUCAAUCCUCAAGCUGAAUGAUAUCAGUCCACUAUCUAACUUCUGAUGCAGCUGAAUCAUAAUCACACUGUAUUUGUUUGGCCAGAGGAAAACUGGCCCUCAACUGAGUCUGGUUUCUCUCAGGAUUUUUUCUUCAUUCUGUCAUCUGAUUGAGUUUGGGUUCUUGUCACUAUCACCUCUGGCUUGCUUAGUUGGACACCUACUGUUCAGUAAUAUUGAUCUGACUGCAUUGACACUAUUGGAUGAGAACUCAACAGAGCUGGAUUAUGACAUUACUGUUUUCUGCAGAACUGAUUUAUAGCUGAAUUGAACUCAUUGAACUGAACUGAAACAACACUGAAAUGACUUCAGCUGAACAAUCACACUGUCUUUUGCUCCAUUACAGAAUUAAAUUCUGUUUGCAUAAUUGAAUUAUUAUUUUCUAGUUUAUCACUGUAAAGCUUCUUUGAAACAAACUGUAAUGUAGGUUAUAAAGCACUUUGUGAGGGUGACUUAACUUGAAAUUUGGAAAUUAUUGUUAAAAGAAUUUUUAUGUGUAAGAAAGGAUGUUGUUUCUCCAUUUAAUAUACAGUAAAUAAUUCACUUAGUAUUUAGUAGUUUAAAAUGUAUGUUGUUAAUAAAUGUUUAUAGUGUAUUCAUUGUUAAUACUUAUAGUGUAUUUGUUAAUUUUAUAAUAAAAUGUCUUCAUCUUUUUAAAUGGUUGAUUGUGUUUCACUUGAAUUACAUUUAGCAGUUUCUGGACCACAUCUGGCCCGAGGACCAAGCCGAAUCUCAGCCAGAUCUGUUUUACAGUGCCUGGGCCAAACCUGGGACACAUAAAACAAUUUAAGUCAAUUUUCAGUGUGCUGACCAGAUCUGGGCCACAUCCAUAAAUAAGAGUCUUUUUACAGGGUGUGGGCCGCAUCUGGGCCAAAGGAAGUUGUUUUUGUCCGUUUUCAGUGUGAGGACCGGUUUUGGGCCGGGGACCCAGCCAGAACUGGGCCGGAAUUGAAGCAAGGAUGUGGCCCAGUAGUGGGCCAGACAAA